GUUAAAUAAUGUGGCCAGGGUCCCAAAGCUAGAAAGUGUCUGGUUCAAAUUCAAGUCUUCAUGACUCCAGGCUCAUUGCUCUAUCUACUGUGCCUCUGAAGCAAAAAUAUUUUGCAUAAACACAAAUUACGUGCAAGUAAAUGCAAAGCAAUUUCAGCAAAAUGCAGUGAGGGUGGGGGUCGAUUGGGGGUCAGGAAGAGCUGAGCUGUCAUGCAGGAGAAGGCUCCUGAGCUGAGCCUCCCUGGGACCUGAGAAUUCUGGAAAGCAUGAGUGAGAAGGGAUGGCCUUCUGAAAUCAAUGUGGGAAGAGAAGAGACGGGAUCUAAAAGGAGCUUUUCGUUAUUGUUACUUUCUUAAUUCAGUAAUCCCUAGCCUUUGAUUCUCCUUAAUCUCCUGUGGUUUGAAUUAUCUCAAAGUGGGAUGCAGAAUCACAAGACACAGAUAGCUUGCCUUCACUUUAAGUUUCAAAAAUAAAGAACUGGACGGUUCUUUGGGAACUGGAGAGGGGGCCGUGUUAUAGAAUCUAGAAAAAUGGAGAAUUGGUCUGUCCACGAGGAUCUGGGUUUGAUUUCCAGCUCUGCCAUCUGUUGGUCUAUGACCUUGAGCAAGUCACUGGACCCCUCUUGGCCUUAUUUUUCUCAGUAAAAGGAGUGGGGGGAAUAAUGGUGGUGGGGGAGUAAAUGACCCCAAGGGUCCUUCCAAUUCUGAGCGUGAUACUGCAAUGUUAAGCAGAGGUCUCUUUUUGAGUCUGAGCCUCUGUUUCUUCAUUUCAGAAGACAGAGUCAUUGGGUGAGUAAUCUUCAAUUAAUGUAAAAUCCGAGUGUUCUGGUUAAUGGUGUAGUUCUGUUCUGCCCCUGAUGUUCUAAUUCUGUUAUUAAAAAUGUAAACCUCAUACAUUAUGAAUUGAGGGUUAGCUAAUUCCCUUGCCAGGAUGGCCCAUAGAGAUGUGGAAGUACAUUUCAGAACCAAUGGAGAAUGCCAAGGACACCCAUGGUGGCCACUGAUGAUGGGGAGAAGAAGAGAAGGAGCCCAUCUUUGGAGGCAGGUUUGAUUCCUUCAUUCCUAUGUUUGUCUCAGCCAUCAGUAACCAGUUAGUUUGUCUAAACAGGUCAUAGAACUCGCAUCAUAGCCAGCCACUCGAGAACAAAGGCUCCCAGAGCCUGGUG
Molecule: long non-coding RNA, 1165 nt
Filed under: Phascolarctos cinereus (koala)
Lineage: Eukaryota; Metazoa; Chordata; Mammalia; Diprotodontia; Phascolarctidae
Description: lncRNA (ENSPCIG00000033080.1)
Source: RNAcentral